Molecule: ribosomal RNA, 406 nt
Filed under: uncultured bacterium
Lineage: Bacteria
Description: partial 16S ribosomal RNA
Rfam family: Bacterial small subunit ribosomal RNA
Source: RNAcentral
AUUGAACGCUGGCGGCAUGCCUAACACAUGCAAGUCGAACGAGUGGCGGACGGGUGAGUAAUGUCUGGGAACCUGCCUGAUGUAGGGUGAUAACUACUGUAAACGGUAGCUACUACCGCAUACCCUCAGAUGUGCCCAGAUGGGAUUAGCUUGUUGGUGGGGUAACGGCUCACCAAGGCCACGAUCCCUAGCUGGUCUGAGAGGAUGACCAGCCACACUGGAACGGAGACACGGUCCAGACUCCUACGGGAGGCAGCAGUGGGGAAUAGUGCACAAUGGGCGAAAGCCUGAUGCAGCCAUGCCGCGUGUAUGAAGAAGGCCUUCGGGUUGUAAAGCACUUUCAGCGGGGAGGCGUUACCCGCAGAAGAAGCACCGGCUAACUACGUGCCAGCAGCCGCGGUAAUAC